GCCAUGGUUACUGCCGGAUAGAAAACCCUAAAGAAAUGUUGGAAUGCUUUUUCUCGAUGCCAUCUCUGAUGCCGUCUUCAUCUGGGUUCUCUAUGUUGGAAAAAGUUACUAUUCUCAAUUCCUGUCUCUUGAUUAUAGUGUU
Non-coding RNA from Arachis ipaensis, 142 nucleotides. NCBI's taxonomy places the organism in Eukaryota, Viridiplantae, Streptophyta, Magnoliopsida, Fabales, Fabaceae. The record is from RefSeq and is a predicted model, not a curated record.